GAACGAGAAGGUGACUUCGGUCACUGGAUAGUGGCGUCCGGGUGAGUAACACGUAGGUAAUCUACCUUCGGGUGGGGAAUAACGUCUCGAAAGAGACGCUAAUACCGCAUAAUGCAGCGGCACCUAAUGGUGAAUAGUUGUUAAAGCGGGGGAUCUUCGGACCUCGCGCCUGAAGAGGAGCCUGCGGCAGAUUAGCUUGUUGGUGAGGUAAUGGCUCACCAAGGCUUCGAUCUGUAGCUGGUCUGAGAGGACGGCCAGCCACACUGGCACUGACACACGGGCCAGACUCCUACGGGAGGCAGCAGUGGGGAAUUUUGGGCAAUGGGCGAAAGCCUGACCCAGCAACGCCGCGUGAAGGAGGAAAUCCUUCGGGAUGUAAACUUCAUAAGUAAGGGAAGAAAGCUGCGGGUUGAAUAAGUCCGCAGUCCGACGGUACCUUACGUAAGCCACGGCUAACUACGUGCCAGCAGCCGCGGUAAUACGUAGGUGGCAAGCGUUGUUCGGAAUUAUUGGGCGUAAAGGGCGCGUAGGCGGUUUGCUAAGUCAGUUGUGAAAGCCCGGGGCUCAACCCCGGAGGGUCGGCUGAUACUGGUGGACUAGAGUACGGAAGAGGUAGCUGGAAUUCCCGGUGUAGCGGUGAAAUGCGUAGAUGUCGGGAGGAACACCUGAGGCGAAGGCGGGCUACUGGGCCGAUACUGACGCUGAGGCGCGAAAGCCAGGGGAGCAAACGGGAUUAGAUACCCCGGUAGUCCUGGCCCUAAACGAUGGACACUUGGUGUGUCGGGUAUUUCAGUCCCGGCGUGCCGG
RNAcentral lists this ribosomal RNA (807 nucleotides) under uncultured Actinomycetes bacterium. RNAcentral's name for it is "bacterial SSU rRNA". It matches the Rfam family "Bacterial small subunit ribosomal RNA", at positions 64 to 849 of the family's 1533-position model. Lineage: Bacteria; Bacillati; Actinomycetota; Actinomycetes. The record is from RNAcentral.